RNAcentral lists this long non-coding RNA (1047 nucleotides) under Macaca fascicularis (crab-eating macaque). RNAcentral's name for it is "lncRNA (ENSMFAG00000062385.1)". The record is from RNAcentral. Lineage: Eukaryota; Metazoa; Chordata; Mammalia; Primates; Cercopithecidae.
UUUUUUUUCUUUUUUUUUUUUUUUUUUUGAUACGGAGUCUCGCUCUGUCACCCAGGCUGGAGUGCAGUGGCCGGCUCUCAGCUCACUGCAAGCUCUGCCUCCCGGGUUCACGCCAUUCUCCUGCCUCAGCCUCCCGAGAAGCUGGGAUUACAGGCGCCCGCCAACUCACCCAGCUAGUUUUUUGUAGUUUUUAGUAGAGACGGGGUUUCACCGUGUUAGCCAGGAUGGUCUCGAUCUCCUGACCUCGUGAUCCACCCGUCUCGGCCUCCCAAAGUGCUGGGAUUACAGGCUUAAGCCACCGCGCCCGGCCCCCCUUUUUUUUCUUAGACGGAGUUUCACUCUUGUCGCCCAGGCUGGAGUGCCAUGGCCGGAUCUCAGCUCACUACAGUCUCCGCCUCCUGGGUUCAAGCGAUUCUCCUGCCUCAGCCUCUCGAGUAGCUGGGACUACAGGAGGCUGAGGAGGUUGAAUCAACUGAGCCUAGGAAUUUGAGGGUGCAGUGAGCCAAGAUCGCACUCCAGCCUGGGCAAGAGCGAGACCUUGCCUCAAAAAAUAGAAUAUACUGCAAGAUAGAAAAGGGCCACUUCAUGUUCACAAUAAAGACAGACUUGAUGAGUGCGAAUCACGUGGGCUUCAAAGUGUGUAAAGCUUAAAACAGCUAAAAAUAUAGGAAAAUUUAAAAACAGUGGUAAGAGACUUGAACCUCUUCACCUGUAUCACUUGUGUUCAUAACUUAAGCAACUUUUAAGCAGAAAGGAUCACGGGAGCCACAGAACUGAGAGAAGCCAGGAUCCUUUGCAGAGCACCAAUGAGGAGAAAAGGCAGACAACUUGGAUGUGUCCCAAACUGAUAACCUACAAAGGUAAGAUCAGUCAUUGGGCAGGGACACAGACUGGCAGUAGCUUGUGGCCUGAGCCUCGGUGGGAUGGAGCCCUCUGGUUCACAGGCUCUAGUCGAUCUGCUCACAGGGCAUUCCUAAGCCAAUCCUGCCCUGUGGUAGUGGUAAAUACUAAAGCAGGCCAAGCAUGCAGCUUCUCAGUCACCUUCAC